UGUGUUGAAUGCCGUACUUUGACAUAUGGUGGUUUUCUUUUGCAAAUUGUGACUUGGAUAAAGAAUUGUCUCAUUGGCAAUCAUACAACAUUCUUUUACAGUUACUCAUAUCUUGACUUACAUCUAGAACUACAACAAGGUUUGUUACCGCGAAACUGGGUGACUUGUCAGGUUGCGUAACAAGAGCCUGACUGAAUGGCCUCUUAUUACUGACAACUGUGUGAUGCACCUGAUAACACAACGAACGAUUGCUGUGAAUAGCAACGAGAAGUCUGGGACUGAAACUCUGGUGAAAACUCACUCUUGAGACUCUGGAACUAGCGAUGAAUAAACCAAUAAUUCAGCA
Long non-coding RNA from Mytilus trossulus (common blue mussel), 346 nucleotides. RefSeq lists it as uncharacterized. The record is from RefSeq and is a predicted model, not a curated record. NCBI's taxonomy places the organism in Eukaryota, Metazoa, Mollusca, Bivalvia, Mytilida, Mytilidae. The transcript is spliced from 2 exons.